UAGCAUUUAGUCUUAUAUACUGCUCCACAGCGUUUCACAGUCCUCUCAAAUUGAUUUUACAGAGUCAGCAUAUUGCCCCCAGCAAUCUGGGACCUCAUUUUACUAACCUUGGAAGGAUGGAAGGCUGAGUCAACCUUGAGCCAGAAGGAUCGAGGGAAUGGAACGACUGGCAAUGUGAGCAGACUUAGCCUCCAAUACUGCAUUCUAAUCACUGCGCCACCA
Molecule: non-coding RNA, 222 nt
Organism: Notechis scutatus (mainland tiger snake)
Lineage: Eukaryota; Metazoa; Chordata; Lepidosauria; Squamata; Elapidae
Source: RefSeq, a predicted model, not a curated record